UCAGUCAUACGCAUUGCUUAUAAU
RNAcentral lists this small nuclear RNA (24 nucleotides) under Arabidopsis thaliana (thale cress). Its description in RNAcentral is "snRNA_02494". The record is from RNAcentral. Lineage: Eukaryota; Viridiplantae; Streptophyta; Magnoliopsida; Brassicales; Brassicaceae.